CCUACGGGUGGCAGCAGUGGGGAAUAUUGGGCAAUGGGCGCAAGCCUGACCCAGCAACACCGCGUGAAGGAAGAAGGCUUUCGGGUUGUAAACCUCUGUCUUUGGGGAAGAAAAUGACGGUACCCAAAGAGGAAGCUCCGGCUAACUACGUGCCAGCAGCCGCGGUAAUACGUAGGGAGCGAGCGUUGUCCGGAAUUACUGGGUGUAAAGGGAGCGUAGGCGGGCGAGAAAGUUGAAUGUUAAAUCUACCGGCUUAACUGGUAGCUGCGUUCAAAACUUCUUGUCUUGAGUGAAGUAGAGGCAGGCGGAAUUCCUAGUGUAGCGGUGAAAUGCGUAGAUAUUAGGAGGAACACCAGUGGCGAAGGCGGCCUGCUGGGCUUUAACUGACGCUGAGGCUCGAAAGCGUGGGGAGCAAACAGGAUUAGAUACCCGAGUAGUC
Molecule: ribosomal RNA, 439 nt
Filed under: uncultured bacterium
Lineage: Bacteria
Description: partial 16S ribosomal RNA
Rfam family: Bacterial small subunit ribosomal RNA
Source: RNAcentral